This 253-nucleotide ribosomal RNA is filed under the name uncultured bacterium. RNAcentral describes it as "partial 16S ribosomal RNA". It matches the Rfam family "Bacterial small subunit ribosomal RNA", at positions 524 to 776 of the family's 1533-position model. The record is from RNAcentral.
UACGGAGGGUGCAAGCGUUAUCCGGAAUUACUGGGUUUAAAGGGUGCGUAGGCGGUUAAUUAAGUCAGAGGUGAAAGGUAAUUGCUUAACGAUUGAAUUGCCUUUGAUACUGGUUAACUUGAAAGUAGAUGAGGUUGGCUGAAUGUGAUAUGUAGCGGUGGAAUGCGUAGAUAUAUCAGAGAACACCGAUUGCGAAGGCAGCUGACUAAUCUUUCUUUGCCGCGGAGGGACGAAAGCGUGGGGAGCGAACGGG